This is a non-coding RNA of Arachis ipaensis, 167 nucleotides long. Lineage: Eukaryota; Viridiplantae; Streptophyta; Magnoliopsida; Fabales; Fabaceae. The record is from RefSeq and is a predicted model, not a curated record.
CGUCGAUCUCUGUGCUUCUCAUCGUCGUCUCUGUACUGACGUCGUCGAUUAGAAGGGAGCUCGAAGAAUUAGGUGUGACACUUCCAAAGGAUGCAUUCGAACUGAUUUUUGUUUUCCUCCAAGAGUGGUAAGUGGUGUCUGCUCUCUGCUGCAUCACUUUAGUUUUG